GGGUAUAUAGUUCAAUGGUUAGAACGACUGUCUUUUAAUCAGUAUAUGUGAGUUCAAAUCUCAUUGUACCUA
This 72-nucleotide transfer RNA is filed under the name Groenewaldozyma salmanticensis. RNAcentral's name for it is "tRNA-Lys". It matches the Rfam family "tRNA". From Rfam's summary of the family: Transfer RNA (tRNA) molecules are approximately 80 nucleotides in length. Their secondary structure includes four short double-helical elements and three loops (D, anti-codon, and T loops). Further hydrogen bonds mediate the characteristic L-shaped molecular structure. tRNAs have two regions of fundamental functional importance: the anti-codon, which is responsible for specific mRNA codon recognition, and the 3' end, to which the tRNAs corresponding amino acid is attached (by aminoacyl-tRNA synthetases). tRNAs cope with the degeneracy of the genetic code in two manners: having more than one tRNA (with a specific anti-codon) for a particular amino acid; and 'wobble' base-pairing, i.e. permitting non-standard base-pairing at the 3rd anti-codon position. Lineage: Eukaryota; Fungi; Ascomycota; Dipodascomycetes; Dipodascales; Trichomonascaceae. The record is from RNAcentral.